CCGUAGGCGGCCCUCUUUCUCCUUCUUUCCUGGUCUUCCCUUUCGUUCCUUCUUUUUUCUCCUUUCUUUUUUCCCCCUCCCCUUCUUCCCCGGGCUCUUCCAAUGAAGACUGGUCAGCUAGAGGACGGUAGAGGGGUGUGGAAUUCCGGGUGUAGUGGUGAAAUGCGUAGAGAUCCGGAGGAACACCAGAGGCGAAGGCGACACCCUGGGCCGUACCUGACGCUAAGACGCGACAGCACGGGGAGCGAACGG
This 252-nucleotide ribosomal RNA is filed under the name uncultured prokaryote. Its description in RNAcentral is "partial 16S ribosomal RNA". It matches the Rfam family "Bacterial small subunit ribosomal RNA", at positions 604 to 775 of the family's 1533-position model. The record is from RNAcentral.